GACGAACGCUGGCGGCGUGCUUAACACAUGCAAGUCGAACGGAAAGGCCCUGCUUUUGCUUGUUGCUCGAUUGGCGAACGCGUGAGUAACACAUGAGUAACCUGCCCUUGUCUUUGUGAUAUCUUCAGGAAACUCGGUCUAAUACACGAUAUGAGCUCCUGCUGCAUGGUGUGGGUUAGAAAGUGUCGGCGGUGCGGGAUGGACUGGCGGCUUAUCAGCUUGUUUGUGGGGUUGUUGCUUACCAGGGGUUUGACGGAUAGCCGGCCUGAGAGGGUGACCGGCCACAUUGGUACUGAGAGACGGCCCAGACGCCUACGGGAGGCAGCAGUGGGGAAUAUUGCACAAUGGGCGGAAGCCUGAUGCAGCAACGCCGCGUGCGGGAUGACGGCUUUCGGGUUGUAAACCGCUUUCGCCUGUGACGAAGCGUGAGUGACGGUAAUGGGUAAAGAAGCACCGGCUAACUACGUG
RNAcentral lists this ribosomal RNA (468 nucleotides) under uncultured bacterium. RNAcentral describes it as "partial 16S ribosomal RNA". It matches the Rfam family "Bacterial small subunit ribosomal RNA", at positions 28 to 507 of the family's 1533-position model. The record is from RNAcentral.